CCUGAUCCAGCCAUGCCGCGUGUGUGAAGAAGGCCCUCGGGUUGUAAAGCACUUUCAGCGAGGAAGAACGCCUAGCGGUUAAUACCCGCUAGGAAAGACAUCACUCGCAGAAGAAGCACCGGCUAACUCCGUGCCAGCAGCCGCGGUAAUACGGAGGGUGCAAGCGUUAAUCGGAAUUACUGGGCGUAAAGCGCGCGUAGGUGGCUUGAUAAGCCGGUUGUGAAAGCCCCGGGCUCAACCUGGGAACGGCAUCCGGAACUGUCAAGCUAGAGUGCAGGAGAGGAAGGUAGAAUUCCCGGUGUAGCGGUGAAAUGCGUAGAGAUCGGGAGGAAUACCAGUGGCGAAGGCGGCCUUCUGGACUGACACUGACACUGAGGUGCGAAAGCGUGGGUAGCAAACAGGAUUAGAUACCCUGGUAGUCCACGCCGUAAACGAUGUCGACCAGCCGUUGGGUGCCUAGCGCACUUUGUGGCGAAGUUAACGCGAUAAGUCGACCGCCUGGGGAGUACGGCCGCAAGGUUAAAACUCAAAUGAAUUGACGGGGGCCCGCACAAGCGGUGGAGCAUGUGGUUUAAUUCGAUGCAACGCGAAGAACCUUACCUACUCUUGACAUCCUGCGAAUUUGGUAGAGAUACCUUAGUGCCUUCGGGAACGCAGAGACAGGUGCUGCAUGGCUGUCGUCAGCUCGUGUUGUGAAAUGUUGGGUUAAGUCCCGUAACGAGCGCAACCCUUGUCCUUAUUUGCCAGCGCGUAAUGGCGGGAACUCUAAGGAGACUGCCGGUGACAAACCGGAGGAAGGUGGGGACGACGUCAAGUCAUCAUGGCCCUUACGAGUAGGGCUACACACGUGCUACAAUGGUCGGUACAAAGGGUUGCCAACUCGCGAGAGUGAGCCAAUCCCGAAAAGCCGAUCUCAGUCCGGAUCGGAGUCUGCAACUCGACUCCGUGAAGUCGGAAUCGCUAGUAAUCGUGGAUCAGAAUGCC
This 984-nucleotide ribosomal RNA is filed under the name Vreelandella aquamarina. RNAcentral describes it as "bacterial SSU rRNA". It matches the Rfam family "Bacterial small subunit ribosomal RNA", at positions 382 to 1358 of the family's 1533-position model. Lineage: Bacteria; Pseudomonadati; Pseudomonadota; Gammaproteobacteria; Oceanospirillales; Halomonadaceae. The record is from RNAcentral.